RNAcentral lists this ribosomal RNA (433 nucleotides) under uncultured bacterium. Its description in RNAcentral is "partial 16S ribosomal RNA". It matches the Rfam family "Bacterial small subunit ribosomal RNA", at positions 29 to 507 of the family's 1533-position model. The record is from RNAcentral.
AACGAACGCUGGCGGCAUGCCUAACACAUGCAAGUCGAACGAUACCUUCUGGUACUUUUGCGCACGGGUUCAGCACGCGUCGGGACCGUCCCUUAUGGUCGGAAUACCUCCCCGAAGGGGGUGCUAAUACCAGAUGAUUGCUUCUACCGAAAGAUUUAUCUGCUUUGGAUGGUUCCGCGUUAGAUUAGCUAUUUCGUAAGAUAAAAGCCUACCAAGGCGAUGUUCCCUAGCUGGUCUGGGAACAUGAUCCACCACCCUGGGACUGGGACACGGCGCGGACUCCUGCGGGAAGCAGAAGUGGGGAAUAUUGGACGCUGCGCGAAAGCAUGAUGCAGCAGUGUCGCGAAAGUGAUGAAGGAGUUAGGGUUGUAAAGCUCUUUUAACCGCGCUGAUAAUGACAGUACCGAGCGAAAAAGCGACGGCUAACUACGUG